AGUGCGGAGGAGGCGCGGCAGGGGCCGGGGCUGUUGUUGCAGGGCGGCCCAGACAGGACGCCCUGUCUCCUUUCUCUCCUACAACCGCUUUUUAAAAGUCUGUUUCUGUUUUUAGCAGCGGCUGCCGGCCUCGGCGUCCUCCACCUACGGGGAUGACCUGGCUUCUGUGGCCCCGGGGCCUUUACAGCAGGACGUGAAGCUGAAUGGAGCCGGCCUUGAGGUGGUGGACUCAGACCCUGAGCCUGAAGGGGAGGCGGAGGACAGUCAGAGCGGCUUCUCUUCCUAACGGCUGCCCUGCUGAGAGCAGGACGACACCAUCUGGCUGCAUCCUGUCCCUAUCAGCCUGUGACUCUGCAUGGUGGGUGGGCAGACCUCAGCCCAGGUGACACCUGCCUCUAAAUGAACCCAAGGAACAGAAUGACAGAGAUCUGCCCGUCCCUAGGAUGAGACUCUUGGGACCCAGGUGUGGGCUCAGCAGUCAUCGGUGUGGUGCAGGGGGGACAGCUGGAGGCCCCUUGGGAGAUCCCCCACCUUCCUAGCUACAGCUGGAGCUCCAAGCACCCCAACCCCCCAGCCUUGGAGCUGGGCAUCAUUUUCCUGGGGCCACGGCAGCUCCCACAGCCUGACAUUCUGUUCCCGGGAGAAGAAACAUUCCCAGAAAGCACUCGUGUGGCCAAAAGCCUCUUUCUGAGCAAACACGAUGUGGACUAAAUUAGCAAAACAUCCAGCCCGUGGGCAACUUCAAAACGGAACAGGCUGCGUUUCUCUGAAACACAAAGCCCCGGCCUCCCUUUGGGGCACCCAGGACCCCAAAUUGCCCUAAGACUGUCCCAGCUCUCGCACCCUCUGCCUUCGCCCCCCGGGGACCUCGGGCUCACAUCACAAGGCCCUGCG
Molecule: small RNA, 894 nt
Filed under: Pan troglodytes (chimpanzee)
Lineage: Eukaryota; Metazoa; Chordata; Mammalia; Primates; Hominidae
Description: processed transcript
Source: RNAcentral